UGGCUCAGAUUGAACGCUGGCGGCAGGCCUAACACAUGCAAGUCGAGCGGAAACGAUCCUAGCUUGCUAGGAGGCGUCGAGCGGCGGACGGGUGAGUAAUGCAUAGGAAUCUGCCCGGUAGUGGGGGAUAACUUGAGGAAACUCAAGCUAAUACCGCAUACGCCCUACGGGGGAAAGCAGGGGCUCUUCGGACCUUGCGCUAUCGGAUGAGCUUAUGUCGGAUUAGCUGGUUGGUGAGGUAACGGCUCACCAAGGCGACGAUCCGUAGCUGGUCUGAGAGGAUGAUCAGCCACAUCGGGACUGAGACACGGCCCGAACUCCUACGGGAGGCAGCAGUGGGGAAUAUUGGACAAUGGGGGCAACCCUGAUCCAGCCAUGCCGCGUGUGUGAAGAAGGCCCUCGGGUUGUAAAGCACUUUCAGCGAGGAAGAAUGCUUGUCGGUUAAUACCCGGCAAGGGAGACAUCACUCGCAGAAGAAGCACCGGCUAACUCCGUGCCAGCAGCCGCGGUAAUACGGAGGGUGCGAGCGUUAAUCGGAAUUACUGGGCGUAAAGCGUGCGUAGGCGGCUUGAUAAGCCGGUUGUGAAAGCCCCGGGCUCAACCUGGGAACGGCAUCCGGAACUGUUAGGCUAGAGUGCAGGAGAGGAAGGUAGAAUUCCCGGUGUAGCGGUGAAAUGCGUAGAGAUCGGGAGGAAUACCAGUGGCGAAGGCGGCCUUCUGGACUGACACUGACGCUGAGGUACGAAAGCGUGGGUAGCAAACAGGAUUAGAUACCCUGGUAGUCCACGCCGUAAACGAUGUCGACUAGCCGUUGGGGUCCUCGAGACCUUUGUGGCGCAGUUAACGCACUAAGUCGACCGCCUGGGGAGUACGGCC
This 876-nucleotide ribosomal RNA is filed under the name uncultured halophilic eubacterium. Its description in RNAcentral is "bacterial SSU rRNA". It matches the Rfam family "Bacterial small subunit ribosomal RNA", at positions 20 to 887 of the family's 1533-position model. The record is from RNAcentral.